RNAcentral lists this ribosomal RNA (484 nucleotides) under uncultured bacterium. RNAcentral describes it as "partial 16S ribosomal RNA". It matches the Rfam family "Bacterial small subunit ribosomal RNA", at positions 30 to 507 of the family's 1533-position model. The record is from RNAcentral.
AUUGAACGCUGGCGGCAGGCCUAACACAUGCAAGUCGAGCGGAUGAAGGGAGCUUGCUCCUGGAUUCAGCGGCGGACGGGUGAGUAAUGCCUAGGAAUCUGCCUGGUAGUGGGGGAUAACGUCCGGAAACGGGCGCUAAUACCGCAUACGUCCUGAGGGAGAAAGUGGGGGAUCUUCGGACCUCACGCUAUCAGAUGAGCCUAGGUCGGAUUAGCUAGUUGGUGGGGUAAAGGCCUACCAAGGCGACGAUCCGUAACUGGUCUGAGAGGAUGAUCAGUCACACUGGAACUGAGACACGGUCCAGACUCCUACGGGAGGCAGCAGUGGGGAAUAUUGGGCAAUGGGCGAAAGCCUGAUCCAGCAAUGCCGCGUGAGUGAAGAAGGUCUUCGGAUUGUAAAGCACUUUAAGUUGGGAGGAAGGGCAGUAAGUUAAUACCUGGCUGUUUUGACGGUACCAACAGAAUAAGCACCGGCUAACUCCGUG